This 492-nucleotide ribosomal RNA is filed under the name uncultured bacterium. Its description in RNAcentral is "partial 16S ribosomal RNA". It matches the Rfam family "Bacterial small subunit ribosomal RNA", at positions 29 to 507 of the family's 1533-position model. The record is from RNAcentral.
AGUGAACGCUGGCGGUAGGCCUAACACAUGCAAGUCGAACGGCAGCACAGUAAGAGCUUGCUCUUACGGGUGGCGAGUGGCGGACGGGUGAGGAAUACAUCGGAAUCUACUUUUUCGUGGGGGAUAACGUAGGGAAACUUACGCUAAUACCGCAUACGACCUACGGGUGAAAGCAGGGGAUCUUCGGACCUUGCGCGAUUGAAUGAGCCGAUGUCGGAUUAGCUAGUUGGCGGGGUAAAGGCCCACCAAGGCGACGAUCCGUAGCUGGUCUGAGAGGAUGAUCAGCCACACUGGAACUGAGACACGGUCCAGACUCCUACGGGAGGGAGCAGUGGGGAAUAUUGGGCAAUGGGCGCAAGCCUGAUCCAGCCAUACCGCGUGGGUGAAAAAGGCCUUCGGGUUGUAAAGCCCUUUUGUUGGGAAAAAAAAGCAGCAGGUUAAUACCCCGCUGUUCUGACGGUACCCAAAGAAUAAGCACCGGCUAACUUCGUG